RNAcentral lists this ribosomal RNA (80 nucleotides) under Bacillus subtilis. RNAcentral's name for it is "partial 16S ribosomal RNA". It matches the Rfam family "Bacterial small subunit ribosomal RNA", at positions 1461 to 1533 of the family's 1533-position model. The record is from RNAcentral. RNAcentral also lists the same sequence under 3 other names. Lineage: Bacteria; Bacillati; Bacillota; Bacilli; Caryophanales; Bacillaceae.
GGUGGGACAGAUGAUUGGGGUGAAGUCGUAACAAGGUAGCCGUAUCGGAAGGUGCGGCUGGAUCACCUCCUUUCUAAGGA